GACGAACGCUGGCGGCGUGCCUAAUACAUGCAAGUAGAACGCUGAAGCGAGGAGCUUGCUCUUCUUGGGUGAGUUGCGAACGGGUGAGUAACGCGUAGGUAACCUGCCUUGUAGCGGGGGAUAACUAUUGGAAACGAUAGCUAAUACCGCAUAACAAUGGAUGACACAUGUCAUUUUUUUGAAAGGGGCAUUUGCUCCACCACAAGAUGGACCUGCGGUGUAUUAGCUAGUAGGUGAGGUAAUGGCUCACCUAGGCGAAGAUACAUAGCCGACCUGAGGGGGUGAUCGGCCACACUGGGACUGAGACACGGCCCAGACUCCUACGGGAGGCAGCAGUAGGGAAUCUUCGGCAAUGGGGGGAACCCUGACCGGGCAACGCCGCGUGAGGGAAGAAGGGUUUCGGAUCGUAAAGCUCUGUUGUAAGUGAAGAACGAGUGUGAGAGUGGAAAGUUCACGCUGUGACGGUAGCUUACCAGAAAGGGACGGCUAACUACGUG
This 497-nucleotide ribosomal RNA is filed under the name uncultured bacterium. Its description in RNAcentral is "partial 16S ribosomal RNA". It matches the Rfam family "Bacterial small subunit ribosomal RNA", at positions 28 to 507 of the family's 1533-position model. The record is from RNAcentral.